Molecule: transfer RNA, 75 nt
Filed under: Truepera sp.
Lineage: Bacteria; Thermotogati; Deinococcota; Deinococci; Trueperales; Trueperaceae
Description: tRNA-Thr
Rfam family: tRNA
About the family: Transfer RNA (tRNA) molecules are approximately 80 nucleotides in length.
Source: RNAcentral
GCCAAUGUAGCUCAGAGGUAGAGCAACCGAUUCGUAAUCGGUAGGUCGCCGGUUCAAAUCCGGCCAUUGGCUCCA